GGAUGCAGGCAGACCUAAUUGUGGUGUCUGUCAUCCCAUUGAUUGACAGGACAAUGUUGAUUCUGCUGACCAGGCUGGCUAGGUAGGCAGGUGACCCCUUCCUCCCUUAGGAAUCCACACUCAUCCCUCUUAAAGCUGUUGGACUCUCCUGCUAGAACCUCCAAACAAGCUCUCAAGAAGGAAGGAAGGAAGACAUUAAAACAAACAAACAAACAAACAAACAAACAAAAACUCAAAGAGAAAGGAAUUU
Molecule: small nuclear RNA, 250 nt
Filed under: Erinaceus europaeus (western European hedgehog)
Lineage: Eukaryota; Metazoa; Chordata; Mammalia; Eulipotyphla; Erinaceidae
Description: 7SK RNA
Rfam family: 7SK RNA
About the family: 7SK was discovered as an abundant small nuclear RNA in the mid-70s but a possible function has only recently been suggested.
Source: Rfam by way of RNAcentral